CCUACGGGUGGCAGCAGUGAGGAAUAUUGGUCAAUGGGCGCAAGCCUGAACCAGCCAUGCCGCGUGCAGGAAGACGGCCCUAUGGGUUGUAAACUUCUUUUAUACAGGGAUAAACCUGGGUACGUGUAUUCAGCUGAACGUACUGUACGAAUAAGGAUCGGCUAACUCCGUGCCAGCAGCCGCGGUAAUACGGAGGAUCCGAGCGUUAUCCGGAUUUAUUGGGUUUAAAGGGUGCGUAGGCGGAUUGAUAAGUUAGGUGUGAAAUGUUGGGGCUUAACUCGGGAACUGCAUUUAAUACUGUUGAUCUAGAGAGUAGAUGCGGUAGGCGGAAUGUAUGGUGUAGCGGUGAAAUGCUUAGAGAUCACACAGAACACCGAUGGCGAAGGCAGCUUACCAAGCUAUAUCUGACGUUGAGGCACGAAAGCGUGGGUAGCAAACAGGAUUAGAUACCCGAGUAGUC
RNAcentral lists this ribosomal RNA (460 nucleotides) under uncultured bacterium. RNAcentral describes it as "partial 16S ribosomal RNA". It matches the Rfam family "Bacterial small subunit ribosomal RNA", at positions 338 to 795 of the family's 1533-position model. The record is from RNAcentral.